ACACUGCACGCACGUGCGAUAAGGGGACUCCGAGUGCGAGGGCAUAUCGUCCUCGCUUUCGUGUACCGUAGGGUGGUACACCAACAAGGGCUGGGCAAGACCGGUGCCAGCCGCCGCGGUAAUACCGGCAGCCCGAGUGAUGACCGAUCUUAUUGGGCCUAAAGCGUCCGUAGCUGGCUGCGCAAGUCCGUCGGGAAAUCCACUCGCCCAACGAGUGGGCGUCCGACGGAAACUGCACAGCUUGGGACCGGAAGGCUCGAAGGGUACGUGCGGGGUAGGAGUGAAAUCCCAUAAUCCCGCACGGACCACCGAUGGCGAAAGCACUUCGAGAAAACGGAUCCGACAGUGAGGGACGAAAGCCAGGGUCUCCAACCGGAUUAGAUACCCGGGUAGUCCUGGCCGUAAACAAUGUUCGCUAGGUAUGACACAGACUACGUGUCUCUGUUGUGCCGUAGGGAAGCCGAGAAGCG
This 470-nucleotide ribosomal RNA is filed under the name uncultured haloarchaeon. Its description in RNAcentral is "bacterial SSU rRNA". It matches the Rfam family "Archaeal small subunit ribosomal RNA", at positions 352 to 821 of the family's 1478-position model. Lineage: Archaea; Methanobacteriati; Methanobacteriota; Halobacteria; Halobacteriales; Halobacteriaceae. The record is from RNAcentral.